AUUGAACGCUGGCGGCAUGCUUUACACAUGCAAGUCGAACGGUAACAGGUCUUUCGGGAUGCUGACGAGUGGCGAACGGGUGAGUAAUGUAUCGGAACGUGCCCAGUAGUGGGGGAUAACUACUCGAAAGAGUGGCUAAUACCGCAUGAGAUCUCUGGAUGAAAGCGGGGGACCGUAAGGCCUCGCGCUACUGGAGCGGCCGAUAUCAGAUUAGGUAGUUGGUAGGGUAAGAGCCUACCAAGCCAACGAUCUGUAGCUGGUCUGAGAGGACGACCAGCCACACUGGGACUGAGACACGGCCCAGACUCCUACGGGAGGCAGCAGUGGGGAAUUUUGGACAAUGGGCGCAAGCCUGAUCCAGCAAUGCCGCGUGCAGGCAAGGCCUUCGGGUUGUAAACUGCUUUUGUACGGAACGAAAAGACUUCUGGUUAAUACCUGGGAGUCAUGACGGUACCGUAAGAAUAAGCACCGGCUAACUACGUGCCAGCAGCCGAC
Molecule: ribosomal RNA, 495 nt
Filed under: uncultured bacterium
Lineage: Bacteria
Description: bacterial SSU rRNA
Rfam family: Bacterial small subunit ribosomal RNA
Source: RNAcentral